GAUUUUCCACUUUAUAUGUAUAUACUUGUUUACAAAAGAAAAUGACGUAUCUAAAAGAAUAUCGAGUCGACUAUUUAUUUAUAAUAACAAAUUCGGUUUAUACAUUCAUCUUUUUAUCGAUUCCGUGUUUAUUCUAUCCCUCCCCACUGUCAAGUACAAAAAAUAGCCAUAACGAAAAAAAAACACACAUAAAUAUAUACAAAUGGACACGCUUAUAUAUAUAUAUAUAUAUAUAUAUAUAUAUUAACGCAUGUACUCACCAUUUUAUUUUUUUUUUUUUUACUUAAUUUUUUUUUUUUUUUUUUUUUUUUUUAGGUUUGUUUUUUCAUUCAUUUUUUUUUUAGCUUACAUAAGCAUUAGUAUGAUAUUAGUUUGGUUAAUAAAUUACCAAUACAGACGUAGUGAGCCUGAAAUUUAUUACAUAUACAUGUUAGGUGUGCUAUUAUUAAUGUUUUUCGUGUUAAGACAUUUAUUAGAAGUAAGAAAUCGUGUUUUGGUAUUUAUGAUUAAAGAAAUAUUAUCCAAUAAUUAUCGUACAUUGUCUGAUUAUAAUGGGUAUUAUAAGGACGAAGCUGAAUCAAUAGCUGUUGAUAUUACAAACAAUGAAUAUAAUGAAAAACAAAACAAUGGUACUAUUAAUAAUAAUAGAAAGAAUAAUAACAAUACUAAUACCAAUAGUAAUAAUAAAAACAGUAAUAGUAAUAAUAAGUUAUUAUUUUCGAAUAAAUGUGCAUUUUUUAAUGAUUUUAUAAUUAACGAUUGUUAUAAAGAUUAUUAUUAUAUGUCAUGUUUUUUAAAAAAGUUAUUAGCUAACUGUAUUGAUACUAAGGAUAUGUAUGAUAGUGAGAAAAAAGAAGAGAAUGAAAAUGAAAAUGAAAACAAACAUAAAAUAUUUGAUAAUGCACAAACACGUUUAGAAGAGGCAGAUAUAUUGACAAUAGCAUAUGAAGCAACUGUAUUAAAAAAUAUUAAAAAAAUAAAUUCAGAAGAAAUAGGAAAAAAUUGGAAUUAUUCUUUUAUAGAUUCAGAAUAUGGUAAAUCUACUUUAGUAAUACUUGAAGUUGGUUAUCAUUUAAUUCAACCAUAUAUAGAAAAU
Molecule: long non-coding RNA, 1096 nt
Filed under: Piliocolobus tephrosceles (Ugandan red Colobus)
Lineage: Eukaryota; Metazoa; Chordata; Mammalia; Primates; Cercopithecidae
Description: lncRNA (ENSPTEG00000011932.1)
Source: RNAcentral